This 250-nucleotide ribosomal RNA is filed under the name uncultured prokaryote. Its description in RNAcentral is "partial 16S rRNA". It matches the Rfam family "Bacterial small subunit ribosomal RNA", at positions 525 to 775 of the family's 1533-position model. The record is from RNAcentral.
ACGGAGGGUGCAAGCGUUAUUCGGAUUUAUUGGGUUUAAAGGGUGUGUAGGCGGUUUAGUAAGUCAGUGGUGAAAUCGGGAGGCUCAACUUCGCGAUUGCCAUUGAUACUGUUAGGCUAGAGUAUAGUCGGCUUGAGAGGAAUGCGACAAGUAGCGGUGAAAUGCUUAGAUAUGUCGCAGAACACCGAUAGCGAAGGCAUCUCAAGAGGUUAUACUGACGCUGAGGCACGAAAGCGUGGGGAUCAAACAG